AAUUUCCUGACAUCUUGGGCAAACAUUCAUGGAGGAUUCAAUAAUAUUAAUAUCAGAUAACCAGCUUCUUGUGCAUAUUCUCUCAUGGCAAGCAAGCCAGACAAUUAUUUUAGCUCUGGGUGGAGCUAGUCCCUGUUUGGACAAAGCUGGAUGGAGUUCAGUGUUACCAGUAGGUGUGAAAGAAGAAAUAGCUCCUAUUCGAAUAA
This 206-nucleotide unclassified non-coding RNA is filed under the name Hevea brasiliensis (rubber tree). The record is from RNAcentral. Lineage: Eukaryota; Viridiplantae; Streptophyta; Magnoliopsida; Malpighiales; Euphorbiaceae.